Molecule: ribosomal RNA, 492 nt
Filed under: uncultured bacterium
Lineage: Bacteria
Description: partial 16S ribosomal RNA
Rfam family: Bacterial small subunit ribosomal RNA
Source: RNAcentral
AGUGAACGCUGGCGGUAGGCCUAACACAUGCAAGUCGGACGGCAGCACAGUAAGAGCUUGCUCUUACGGGUGGCGAGUGGCGGACGGGUGAGGAAUACAUCGGAAUCUACUUUUUCGUGGGGGAUAACGUAGGGAAACUUAUGCUAAUACCGCAUACGACCUACGGGUGAAAGCAGGGGAUCUUCGGACCUUGCGCGAUUGAAUGAGCCGAUGUCGGAUUAGCUAGUUGGCGGGGUAAAGGCCCACCAAGGCGACGAUCCGUAGCUGGUCUGAGAGGGUGAUCAGCCACACUGGAACUGAGACACGGUCCAGACUCCUACGGGAGGCAGCAGUGGGGAAUAUUGGACAAUGGGCGCAAGCCUGAUCCAGCCAUACCGCGUGGGUGAAGAAGGCCUUCGGGUUGUAAAGCCCUUUUGUUGGGAAAGAAAAGCAGCAGGUUAAUACCCCGCUGUUCUGACGGUACCCAAAGAAUAAGCACCGGCUAACUUCGUG